GAUCCUGGCUCAGGAUGAACGCUAGCUACAGGCUUAACACAUGCAAGUCGAGGGGCAGCAUGGUCUUAGCUUGCUAAGGCCGAUGCGGGGGGGGGGGGGACCGCGCACGGGUGAGUAACGCGUAUCCAACCUGCCUUACACUCUUGGACAGCCUUCUGAAAGGGAGAUUAAUACAAGAUGUUAUCAUGAGUAAGCAUUUUCACAUGAUUAAAGGUUUACCGGUGUAAGAUGGGGAUGCGUU
This 241-nucleotide ribosomal RNA is filed under the name uncultured bacterium. Its description in RNAcentral is "partial 16S ribosomal RNA". It matches the Rfam family "Bacterial small subunit ribosomal RNA", at positions 15 to 237 of the family's 1533-position model. The record is from RNAcentral.